ACACUGUAGGGAAUCUAAUCUUAAAUUUUCACCCUCUAGUUUGGGACGGAUACGCACACACACACGUCCUUAAUACUCCAGGGGCCCUUGUUUUCUGACGCACACUGGUGUGGUGUUCUAGCAAGAUUGAUACAAUCACUUUUUAAAAACUUCCACAAAAAAAAUCAACACCCCAAUGCCUCUAAUUUGAAAUCCAAACACUAAAAAAUUGAUAUUCAUGUGUACAUUUUUAAUCACACUGGAAAGAAAAACUGAGCAUUCAGGCAAUUUUACUUUUUAUCUUUCAGACUGUUCAAAGUGGCCGGGAUUGUAUGCUAAGCUGAGAAGUUUUCCUUAACAAUCUCUGCGCCUGGGUACCUCGGUACCUAAGAUGGCCCUGUAAAUGGCAACUUUUCACUGUAGUCAUCUUCAGGGUAUCCCCAGGACCGUGUGGACUCACUCGACCAGGAGAUGAAUUUACUCAGGUGCCUCUCUGUCUCUCAGGGAAAGGACUAUGCACACGAGCAGUCAGGUUGCAAUUUUAUUCGACAACAACAAAGCCGUCGCAAGACGUGACUGGAGUACCAUCAGCUCGGUGAAAGGUGCCCUUUGGUCUGCCCGAAACCUGUCGGGUCUUCCAGAGUGAGGAGGUGACCCUGACCAAGUGUUGCAGACUGGCACAUUCCAAGAUCCAGGAC
Long non-coding RNA from Chiloscyllium plagiosum (whitespotted bambooshark), 677 nucleotides. RefSeq lists it as uncharacterized. NCBI's taxonomy places the organism in Eukaryota, Metazoa, Chordata, Chondrichthyes, Orectolobiformes, Hemiscylliidae. The record is from RefSeq and is a predicted model, not a curated record.